This 104-nucleotide small nuclear RNA is filed under the name Prolemur simus (greater bamboo lemur). The record is from RNAcentral. Lineage: Eukaryota; Metazoa; Chordata; Mammalia; Primates; Lemuridae.
GUGCUUGUUUCAGCAGUACAUAUAGUAAAACUGGAAUGACACAGAGAUUAGCAUGGCCCCUGUGCAAGGAUGACAUGCAAAUUUGUGAAGCAUUCCAUAUUGUU